AUACCUCACAUUCCCCAGCACGGUUCCGACAGGCCCAUGAGUGGGGAGUCCUCAUGGCCUGGGAAGGUGGCCGAGAAAGUUUGAACAGCUGCAGAGCCUGCCCGUCCACUCUCUCCAGCCACAUUUGUGUGUGUGUGUGUGUGUGUGUGUGUGUGUUGUGUUUUGACCAACCUCUUAGGCUUAUGUAACACACUUGGAAGUCAAGAAGUAAGGACUCAUUACUGACAGCCUCAGAGAGGCUUGCGAAACACUUGCUGUGAAGAAAUCUUUCCAUUGAGAAAAAGUUCCCUGGUGCUCAUGCUCCCAGUGGCUCAGGCCUGGUCUGCACUCAGCGGCUGCCAGGACCUCCCGGGAGCGCCCACACACCCCACAGCCCGCCUGUCCUGGGAAUACCUCUCCAGGCCCUGAAUACCUGUCCCCCACUCCCUGCCUAGGACAACGGGGGCUGUCAGGGCCAUGGGCAGGCCCACCCCACCAACCAGACCCUACGUGGGCCCCGCCUUGGUCCCGGAGCCAAUGUCUGGCUGAUCAGGGAACAAGAGGAGCCUUCAACACCUCAAUUCUGGGACGGUUGAGGUUUUCACACCGGGCCACACCUGAGCCACUAGGAGCCGGGAGGCUCUGAUCGUCUCUCCGCCUGUCUCUCUCUGGCAUCGCCAGGGCUGACUUCAUUCCACGUCCGCGCGGAAACAGCAGGGCUAUCUCAGUGCAAUCCUGGUUUUGUAUUCAGAGCCUCCUCUGAGUGAGUGCCAGGGCGCACCGUGCAAGGAGCCUGGCUUUGCCCACUGCAAUCCCGUGCCCUCACCCUAGUCUUUUAACCUCUCACGACUCAGGUUCCUCAUCUGUGAAAUGGAGCUGUCUUCUUUGUGGGGUUAGUGGAAGCAAUAAGCGAGAAGUGUGUCCACACAGGCCCAGCCUUUCUGGGGCCUCACUGUGACCAGACACUGCGCUUUGGACUAGGGGAUGGGAUGCGACUUAGGGGAGCUGCGGCCACCUGUCUCUGGAGGCUGAAGUCUCCCUGCGGACCACCCUUCCUCAGGACCACCCUUCCUCACUUGCACGUCUCCCCUGCAGUCAGGACUCGCCUGCCCCCACGCCAGGCUCUCCCUAGUGGAUCAGGCUGUACAACCUGGUUUGUAUGAGGAAAGGCAGCCGCUGGGGCCCCAGUGCAGCAAGAGAGGGGAGGAGGAGGUGUUCAGAGGGAAGACCCCUCCCCACCCCCGUUGGCCCCUUGUCUUCAAAGGAAGGGCGUGACCUUUCUGCCCCCCAGACCCACCCUGAGGGUCACUGUGGCGGUGAAGCCUGGUGCCGGCACUUGUGCCCGCCCUCUGACUUGCAGUGUCCCGAGACAUAUUCAGGGGAGCCAGGUAUUCAAUCAGCAAGGCUCCCAACAAGAUGGGGUGGGUGGGAGAAGCACCCACAAUUCUCUAGAAGGCUUUCAGGGCAUUCUUCACUAAAGAGACACAUUGGAGUCUGGAACCCCUCCCCUAGCAGGGGGACACCUCCAAGCUGUGCUCAAAACUGGGACAGGAUAUUUGGGUUGGAGUGUUCUCCGUCUCUGCCUCUCUGUCUCUCUCUCUCCCUUUCUCUCUGUCUCUCUCUCUCUCUCCCUCUCUCCCUGUCUCUCUCUCUCUCUCUCUCUCUCACUCUCUCUUGCUCUCUCUUUCCUCCUGUCUCUCUAAAGGUCUCCUUUCCUCUAAGGGCAAAGCAGCAGCUGUCAGGUCCUUAGAGCAGGAUCCCUGGUUGGUGCAGGCCCAGGGCCAGCCCCUGGUCCCGGCCUUUCUUCCCCUGGGGGAUGAACAGUGAAUGCAGCCGCCCUGGGAGUUGGGCGACCUGCGGGGCUUGGAGGGAAGGGCAGGAGGGCCCAGGGCUGACACAGCACGCCUGGCUGGGGUGGGGGCAGUGGUGUGGGUGGCUGACCACAUUCCUGGGAUGCCGGGCUGCAGGGCUGGGCGGCUGUGUCUACACCUGUCUGCCCCUGUCGGCUGUGAGCAAUGCAGCCAGGGACAGGGCAGCUAGAGCCAUGCUGUGGUCUGGCCAGUGGGCCAGGCACGUGAGCUGGUUCAUGCCCUGCUGCACCAACAACGUUCACCUGGAGAGGUCAGUGGCCUCAUUGAGGGGAAGAAGGGCUCUGUCCCUAGAGUCUAGCAAGCCUGGGCCAUGGUCUGUGGGGCUUGUCAGGGUGACUUCACCUCUGUGAGCCUCAGUUUCCCUCCCUGGAAAGUGGAGCAUAACAUGGGUGGGGUCCCCGGUGCUGGCCUGCAGAGCCCUGGGAGACGUGUGGAGUACAAGCCCCAUACGCUAGGCCAAAAGAUCCGCAGACCAGGCAGCUUAACUGAUAGAAAUGAAAGUCCAAGAUCAAGGUGUCAGCAGGGCAGGCUCCUUCUGAGGCUGCGGGGAAGGAACUGGCCCAGGUUUCUCUCCUUGGCUUGCAGGUGGCCCAUGCCUCUCCACAUCAGCUUCCCUCCCAUGCGGCCUCUGUGCCUGAACUUCCUCUUUUAGUAGGACUGCGGUCAUAUUGGAUUAGGGCCCACCCUAAUGGCCUCCUCAGAACUUGGUGACCACUGUAAAGGCCCUAUCUCCAAAUCAGGAAAUGUUCCGGGGUCCUGGGGGUUAAGACUUCAACACAAACAUCUUGUUGGAGGGGGGUUGCAAUUCAGUCCACACCCGCUUCCCUCGUCUCACUUCGUCCAGCACUCAGCACCCUCUGGCCCUGCCCUUAGCUGUGGGUCUGGAUUUCCCAUCUCUUCCACGGUAAGCCCUGUGAGGGCGGCGUCUUUAUCCCAUUUGCUGUUACACCUGCAAUUCCUGGGGUGCCGGCUUGUUCUCAUCAUUUAGCAGACCAUUGCUGAAUGGCUAACAAAUCCAGGAUACAAUUUGUAGGUGCACCAAGCCAGGCAAGGUAUCUGCGUCACCUGCCCGUCAGUGGCCCCAGGCUGGGAAGACCCCUUGGGUCAUGCUUGGACACUCUGCACCAUGGGCAGCCAGAACUCCUGGCCGAGUGGUCAGCGGCCGCCACACCUUGCUGGAGCAGAGGCACCCCUGCCAUCCCACAGGCAAGACGGACCUAGCUCGGUUUCCCAACACUCUGUUGAGAUGGGGCUGCCCAGAAGCCCACACAAGCCCACACCUGGGGGAAUCCCAGCCCCACGUUCUGGUUCAAGUCGCUGCUGGUUUGGGUUCAGAGCCCAAACAUGAGCUCCUGCUCUUCUUGGUGUGAUCUGAGGCUGUGGAUAUCCUGAGAACAUCUGUCUCAACAGAACACCUUCCUCCAUGUUGCCUAUAUCCCAAAUUCACUCCCAAGUGGCUUUUGUCUGGCAGAUUCCGGUGGAUUAUGCAAAGAGGGACUGCCAGAGAAUCUGAGCUGUUGGAAGACUUCUGAAACGUCACUGCGGUGGCGGAGGCACUGCCCCGGGGGGACAAAAGUCUUGUCUCUUCCUCCAAAUGUGGAGGAUCAAAUUAGAGUUGACUUGUGUGUUUCCAAACCCGUUGUCGUCCCAGCAUUCAACUAAUUUGAAGAUACCAAAAGCCUCAGAAGAGGGUGGCAGAAGAAGAAAGGGACAAACACAAAAGGGGAAGGACAAGAGGGCAGACCGUUAAAAAAAAAAAAAACCUACAAGAAUGCAGUUUGCUCCUGGGUGGACCCUCCCACCCCGUGCCUGCCCCGAGCUGGCCCCUGACCUGUGCCGGCAGCUCAAAUUCCUAACAUCUGGCCCAGGGUAAGGAUAUGGGCAACUCUUUAAGGAAGCGUGUCCUCGCUAGGUGCUGAUCACUCACUCCAAGGGACUUUGCUCCUGGAUGCCCAGGCUCAGAGAGGGCUGUGAGCCUCCCAUGGUCACACAGCAGCAGUCCAAGUGCCUGGGGCAGUCCGAUGCCCACAUCCCCCUUGAGGUCCCAGGUCUCAGGUGUCACCUCUUGAAAAUUCAAAGGAGGAUCCUUCGAAUUCAUGAACCAGCAACCUCCCAGGAGAGAAAAAGAAAGAAAACUCCUGAAAGUCGCGGCAGAUCCUCACGGCUCUGCAGAUGUCCUGCGGAGGUUGAGCCUCUGCACUUUGGCCUCAGCUGCCCAGGUACCAGUCUCAGCUACUGUCACUGGCGGUGUGGCCUGGGCAGCCAUGUCCCCUCCCCAGGCCUCAGUCUCCCAGUGUGUCAAAUAUCUGCCCCGUCUCAGGUCUCAUUCUGCUGCUUCCCCCUUGUGAUCAUACCCUGCCCCUCCCCACUCCCCAAGGACUUCUUGGCCUUAGCCCACAAACCUAUGCAGGUGGUUCCAUCAGAGACUGUCCCCCCCAGCCACCCCAGCCCUCAUCCUAAGUCCCAUGCUCCCCUCCCCUGCAGGAGGCCACUCCGUCCUCCUAGUACUCUCUUCUCCCAGCAUCUCCAGUUCUCCACUGCCCGCUUUUCCUGCUGCCCCACUUGCUGGUCCCCUGGAGUCCCCCAGACAUCAUCGCUCCUGCAGUCAGCAAGGAUUUGGUGGGUGCCUGUUGAGGGGGCCGCUCCUCUGGGGCUGGAGUGCAGCGAUGCGUGAAACAUUAUGAUCCCUGAUCGCCUGGGGCUUCUGGUCCCAUGGGAUUUGAGGGUUCCUUGGUUUUUUUCUCUUUCAACCCUUCUUCUCCCUGGGUGACCUCAUCAGUUCCCAUGGAUUGAAAUAUCCUUAUGCCAAUGACUUCCAAAUUUGUCUCUUCAGCCAUGACCUCUCCUCCAAACUCUGGACCCAUAUAUCCGGCCAUCCACUUGACAUCUCCCUUUGGGGUCUCCCAGACAUGUCAAGCAGAUCGUGUCCAAGCUGGUGUCCAAUCCUUUCCCAGGCAACUCAACUCCCAUCUUCCCCAUCUCAGUAAAUCCCACUGCCACCCCUCCACUAGCUCCAUCCAGAAACCUCUACAAUCUCCUUGCUUCUCCCUGUCCAUAUCCACGAUCAGGAAUCCAUCCACAGACCUGUGCAUCCUGUCUCUGCAGAUCCACAGCCUCACCCCCAUCAGCACCCCGGUCCAUAGAGAGAGACCUGGUGACACAGAUGGUACUUCAGAGAGAGGACAUGAAUGGUGUCUCUAGUCAUGAGAGUCAGGGUUUAGGUUGAAGCUACUCCGCCAGGGAGAAGUGGAGAUCCAGGGCCCAUCCAGGGACACGCAGGGAGAAACCGCUUCCCCCAGCCUCAGGGUGGAGCCCCUGGUUACCCUCUGAGCCCCAGAGCCUUGUGUCCCCAGGGAGGCAGAGGGUGGAAAAGACUGAUGGGUAGAGAGAGUGAGAGCAUCAAGACCCCUCUACACUGCAGUACAAGAGGCUCCCUUUUGGGUGGGCGUGACAGGAGACAUCCCAGUACGUGGAUCCCAGCCUUUGGACUUGGUGACUGUGAUCAGCUAAGAGUAAAACUGUUCUUGCUUUAUUCUUCUGGGAAAGGGCUACACCUGCUGGGUUCCACACCAGGUGAAGACCGGGCAGGUAUUCUAUUCAAAAGGGUGUGGCUUUGCCACCCAUUUGACAGGAGAGAAAACGGAGGCAUGGAGUUACCAGGAUGUGAGCAGCACAGCAGAGCAGUCCUGUUCAGGGCCUCACACUCCCUCCCCACAGCCCCCUUCCUGACCCUACAGCCCCCGUUCCAGGCAGUUCCUAGCACCAUAAGGUAAGUGGACAAGCCUCACUCUGGAAGGAGAGCACAGGGCCCUGUCCCUCCUGGGGGCCCGCUGAGAAGCACAGUGGAGUUCUCCAGGGACCACCAUCACACCGAGGACACGUUACCAUAAAGAAAGGGCCCCUGCUCACACACAUUUCCCAGUCACUAGCAGUGAGCACGUGGCAGCCUCCAGCAGCUCGGAUUCCUCCAGGCCACACCCUAGACCUGGCCACCCACAUUCUGGCUUCUCAGGGCACAUGGAGCAGCCAUUCCCCUGGGCUCUGGGCCCCAGGCACAAGAGACCCAGGCUUGCAGCUGUUUUGCAGAGAGUAAGGGCAAAAUGGAAGCUGCAGUGAUGAGGGAGAAGGUGCUGGGGAGAGGGAGAGAGAUAGCUGGAUGGGCAGGGCCGCUGUUGCUGGGACCUCAGCCCCAGGACGGGCAUCCUUUCAGCAAAAUCUUUGCUGGGCAGCUAUGGUGGGCUAGACACUGUGAGGUGAUGGCGUCUGGGCAAGACCUACAGGACAGGGGACGCGCAGCCCAGUGGGAAAGACAGGGAAUCAGCUCAACCGUCCACCAUGGGCCAUGUCAGAUCCAGUUAUCCUACCAUCCAGAAGCAGGGGGCCAGGAGGUUAAAUGACGUGCUGGUGGCCAUGGUGUGGGGGCAGAAGGGCCAGGGUUCAAAGCCAUACCCCUUUGAACAGAACAGGUGUAGCCUAUUUACCCGCCUCUCCCUCCAUCCAUCUGCACAUUAAUUCAUUCAUUCAUUCAUUCAUUCAUUCGCUGAGCACCUGCUAUGUGCUGGGCCCUGCUCUCAAGAAGUUUGGAUUCUGGUGGGGAGGAAAGAAAAAAUAUCCAGGUUCAUCAGACAAGCAAAUAAUACAACUACAAAAGUUGUCAAGAGUCUCCUGGAAGAGAAGGAGCUGGCUAUGUGGGGCCUGCACACACACGUAUGCAUAUAUUCACAUGCAUGUUCAUCCAUGUACACAUGUGUGCAUGCAUGUCUGUGUGUGCUUUGAGCAUGACUGUACCUGUGUAUCUGUGUGUGCACAGAUGUGCAUGUGCACGUGUCUAUCUGAGUGUGUCUGUGUGCAGGCAGGUUUCAUGGAUGUUUCUGUGCCUGCAUACAUGUGUGUGAGUGUGUGUGCAUGUGUGAAUGUGAAUGUAAUUCCCAACAGAGGUAUGAACAUAGCUCAGAGGUGGGUGGACUCAGUGGGAUGUGCUUUAGGGAGGAAAAGAGGCCCAGUGUGCCAGGGGUCAGGGCGUGGGGCAUUGAGGGGUUUCGGGAGGAAGGAGCACGUGGAGGCCAAGCUGUGAAAACCCUGUAGACCAUGAGAGGAAUUUGAGUUUUAUUCAAAAUGCAAAGGGAGCCAACAGAGGAAUUUCCACAUGGCUAGAAAAAAGCACACAGCCAUGGGACUGUGGGGAGCACGGAGUGGAGGGGGUGUGAGUGGAGGCAGAUGGCCAGGCCAGAGGCCAGCACUGCACCUGCCCAGGUGAGAAAGGCUGGGAGAUGAGAAGGAAACCCACACUGACCAAGAUUAAAAACAAUACGAUACAAGGAAUUAACAGCAGAUGAGACAGUGUAAAAAAAAAUAAUAAUAAUGAACUUAAAAACACAGUCAUAGAAAUUCUCCAAAAUGGAAUACAAGGAGAAAAAAGACUUAAAAAAAAGACAAGGAAGAACAGAACAGCAGUGAGUUCUGGGACAUCAAGUAGCCUAGCAUAGGUAACUGGAGUCCCCAAUGAACCCCAGUGAGCGUGACCCAGUAUCCGCCUAGUAGGACGCUGAAAUAAAAAUGACUGACCGACUCAGUGCCAGCGAGGACAUGGGGCCACUGGACCCCUCCCACACCACGGGUACCAGCUCUUUGGAAACCUCUUCUGCAGAUUCUUCCAAAGCUAAAUAUCCAUCUAUGUGUGACUCAGCCAUUCCACUCCUGGGUAUUCUCCAAAGGGAGAUUAAAGUGCACAGCCUCCCCAAAUCUCGUACACAAAGGUUCCCAGCGGCUUUAUUUGUAACAGCCCCAAGCUGGAAACCACCCAAAUGCCCAUCAGCAGGUGCUUGGGUAAGCAGAGGCCUGGGGUCACCGUUGGUUCAGCUGUUGGCCUCUCCUUCUGUCUCUCCAAGCGCCCUAGGGCAAGUGGCAUCUUCAAGCUGAGCCUUGGUUUCCUUUCCUGUGAAGUGGGUCUAGUGAGUGGGCCUGAUUUGAGGUGGUGGGCAGGAUCAGCGUGGCAUCACUGGGGAAGCUCGCAGCCGAGUGUGAAGGGCCCGGCAUGGAGGGGUGGAAGAUGUCAGGCUCCAAGCAGCCCCCGACGCUGGCAGUGCUCAGGCUGACCCUUGGCUGCCUCAGCUCUGGGAACCCCAUGCAGCACGAGGCGUCGGGGCAGGUAGUGGGGCCAUAGGAGGCGGCAGGGCCUGGGCUGUGGCCCCGUUCCCUGAAGGGCUCCGUGUGUUCCAUGCAGCGGGCAGGGUCAGGGGUCAUGUUUAAACGCGGGGGAGCCCAGGGCAGUACCUCCAGGCCGCAUGCUAUCCAAGUGGCGUGGGCAGGCGGCCCCUUGGAUGGUCUCGGGACAGCACAGCAAGGCCCUGGGCACUCACCUGACCAGUCACGUUGGGGCCGCCUGAGGGAACAGGCAGGCAGAUCCAACCCAUGGUGGGGGGCUGGGACUUAGGAUGGUUUGAGGGGUGCGCCGAAAGCCUGGGAAGGAGCCUGGGUGGGAGAGUGGAUGCCCGGCACACACACUCGAGUGGACCAGAGGCGGUUGGCUAGGCCACAGCUAUCCCGUGCCCAGCACCCUGGUAGCCAGUUCAGAGUGACUGUCCCAGCCCUAGCUGAGGGUAUGCAGCCAAAGCAGGGCACACCUGGUGUUUCUGGAAACCCCUCUCCCCAUGCCACUGCGUGCCAGCUCCAGUGGCCCCCGUGUCGGUCCUUAGGACUCUGGCCACCCACACGCUGAGCUCCCACAGGGCAGGUCCAAUGCCCAGCACACAGGGGAAGCUCAGCCCAUGUGCCGGCGGAACGGUGAGAUGGGUGUGAAUGAACAAAUGAAGCAUCUCUCUCCCCCUCCCCUCCCCAGCUUCUCAACCACAGAAUCUGUGCCUGGCUCAGGAAAUGUACCCUUCGUGUGGGUUUUCUAUUGCUGCGUAACAAAUGGUCACCAAUUGAAAAGCUUAAAAUGGCAUUUAUCUAUUGUCUUAAAGUUUGGGCAGGUCAGGAGCCAGGACAUGGCAUAGCUGGGUCUUCUGUCUCAUGGGGCUGCAGUCAAGGUGCCAACCGGAGCUGGGGUCUCCUCUGAGGUUUGGGACCCUCUUCCAAGCUCUCUCGGUUGUGGAAGAUUGCAUUUCCUUGCCCCUGUUCCUCAUGGGGCUGGAUCUCCAAAUCCUGCAGGAGAGUCUCUGACUUCAAGGCCAUUUUGAAAGGGCUCACCUGAUUAGCUUGGGCCCACCCAGGAUCAUCUCCAUUUUGAUUAACUCAAGGUCAGCUGGUUAGGACCUUAAUUACACCUGCAGAAGUCCGGCACCUUUGCGAUAUAAAGUAACCUCACCACGGGAGCACAUCCACCCUCUUUGCAGCCCUGCCACACUCCAAGUUGGGGAGUACACAGGUGUGUAGACACCUGGGGGCAGGGAUGCUGGAAAGCGUCUGAGUCUCCUCCCAACCACGCUCUCCUUGGCUCUGAGACUGAGUCCUGGCCCCAGGUAGGUAAUGAGUGAAGCUUUGCGGAAUGAAUACACGAGGGAAUGAGUGAGUGAGUGAAUGUGUGAGUCUGGCAUCUUCCAUCAAACUGUGACCUUCCCAGGGCCAGGGUCCACAUUGGACUCACCUCUGAAAUCGCCAUGCCAACUAGUGCUCCUGGUUACCUAUGACGCUUUGAAUGCUCACCUGAGCGAGUGGAGGAGGGAGUGGCGCCCCUGUCUCUCCUCAAGGUCAGUGUCUGUGCAGAGCAGCUCCAAGACCCAUUCCUCUGGGAGCCAGGUACAGGGCCGCAAGCUCUGUCCUCGGCACCAUCUCCUCUGGCUCCUCCAUGCAGCUGACCCUCCAGUGCACAGCAGCAGCCCCCAGGGCAGCACUGGCCACACAGGGACCAGUGGAGGCAGGCUCCUGGCUGUGAGACCUUGGGCAAGGCCUUCUGUCCCGACCCUCCUGGUCUCCAUCAGCAAGAGAGGGGUGGCAACACCUGGCUGGCGUAAGGAUGGAGCAUUCCCCGCAUGGCCAGCUCUCAGGGCAAUGCCUGGUGCCGUCCAGAUGCCCACACCGUUGCCUCCUUUCAUCCCUCCAAGAGCAUCACCAGGCAGGUGCUGUCAUUAUGCCCAUUUUAUAGCUUGGUAAACUGAGGCACAGAGAGGUUAGGUAAUACAUACAAAGCUGGGGAUUGGGCCCAGACAGUCUGGCUCUAGCCAUAUUGGAAGGGCAUUCCCCCUCACCCCUGACUACUGGGUUCCUGAGUAGUGAGUUGAAGACCCUGCUCGUCAGUGUGCUGUGUGACGUUAGCAAGCCAGCUGUCCUCUCUGUUUUGGCCACUGUGUUGGGCUUCCUGGGGCUGCUAUAACCAAGUGCCACAGGCUACACGGCUUAAACCACAGAAGUGUAUCGUCUCACAGCUCUGGAGGCCAGAAGUUCAAAAUGAAGGUUGGGCA
This 10249-nucleotide long non-coding RNA is filed under the name Homo sapiens (human). RNAcentral describes it as "non-protein coding lnc-ORAOV1-3:5". The record is from RNAcentral. Lineage: Eukaryota; Metazoa; Chordata; Mammalia; Primates; Hominidae.